This is an RNA transcript of Oryza brachyantha (malo sina), 7688 nucleotides long. RefSeq lists it as uncharacterized. Lineage: Eukaryota; Viridiplantae; Streptophyta; Magnoliopsida; Poales; Poaceae. The transcript is spliced from 12 exons. The record is from RefSeq and is a predicted model, not a curated record.
UCCCAUCCCAUCCCCACCCCCACAUAGACGAGGAGUUCAUAGCCCGUCGGCCGGCCGGACCGGAGGAACUAGCCAUGGCGUGCGUUCCCGUCCAGCCUCAGCCUACGCGCGGGGAGCCGGCCGUCUUUGGCUUGGCGCUAGGUUAAUCGAUCUCCGGCCAGUAUCCGGUUCUUCUCGUCUCGAUCUGUGCCAUGCCAUAUGCACGGACGGACGACGGCGAGCAGCCGCCGGCAUACCAAGCCGUCGCCGGCCGGAUUUGCCAAACAGAUCUCUAUCUCAGGUGCAGAAGAUCAACAACACAUGCAUCUAUGUAUGUAUAGCAGGGGGGAUAUGUCUUUGAUUAUUUCCACAUCCCUCGAUUUGAUUAAUAUACAUAGAGCAUCCGAUCGAUCCCGUUGCAACAGAGUAAUUAGGAUGAAUUGAAGUACUAUAUACGAUCCGGUAUUAUACAUCCCUAGUUUUGUCUUGUUUGUUACAAACAUGCAUUACUACUCCAUGUUAAUUUGCAUGUAUACUAGUUGUUUCUAUCUAAAUCCCUUCGAGCCAACUGUAUUAUUAUAUGUAUUUAGCCUUGCUAAAUGACGAUAAGUGUAGUCUUGAUUAGCGGAUAAUACAAGGAAUCUCGCAUGGAGGUAGGGGCAUGGCUGACAUUUCACAUGCUCAGAUCUUGGGGAGCCGCUAGUAGUACAGCCCUAGCCGUCAGCUCUCUGCACUCUCUCUCUCUUAUUAGACAAGACAGUCUUCUCUGUGAUACGGAGGUUUUUGUUAUUACUACGGAGUACAUUUUGAUGCUAAUUUUGGUAGCGCCCGUACGCCUGAAACAGUUCCCCUUCCAGAUCCAGAUGCCAUGCGCCUCCAGAUGAAGUCUACACGCCACCCUAGCUAGCAUCACAUGAUUUUUGUGCAUGCUAGACCACAUGAUGAUUUUCCUGUUUGAUGCAACCUACCCAAAGCUUGUAAGCCAGAUACAAACUGAUGAAGCUAAAGGUUGGCCAAUUUGGGUACGAUAAAGACAGCUGAUGGACUUGGGGGAUUGUAGCACACUGCUGAAGCUAUUUCCAGACGAAGAUCCAUCCAAUGCAUAUGCAUAUACACACACACAAGGCAGUAAGUUUGUCUAAUAUCUCUGCACUGUACUUUCAGCAAUCAACUAAAUAUCAUCCUUCUUUAUUCAAAAUGGCAGCAUACGCAGCUGAUUACCAUAUGCAUGACGCCUUGUUACCAGAAUUCAGUAAUUGGCGUUGUAGUAUGAACUCUGCAAUAGUGUAGGAAGAAAAAAAACUUAUCAGCAUGUAUGGUAGAAGAAAAAAACAUUAUCACCGUGCAUGCUAGAAGAGACUAUGGACAUGCAGUAUGAUGUUGCCAAAUUUAACAAACACCCAAGGGUCUUCCGGCUAGCUCCACAAGAUGGUGAGCUGGCUGGUCUGGGAGCUGGCUGGUCUGGGUUCGAAGCCUCAUUUCUACCUAUUUAAUUGAUAUUAGGUCAUUCCUUAAUAUCCAAGUUUUUUAUGUUCUUGCCAAAUUCCUGUGAUUUGUCUUCCAUGGAGCUGCACAGAUAAGAUAAUUUGUUAUAGAUAAAAUGAAUCAUUUUAGCUUCCGGACCAUGUAGAAUAAACCUUUAACUUUUAGACUUCACAGGAAACACAAAAUGAAUACAUGCACAUAGAUAUGCAUACUUGUAGUUCUAUACAGGGAGGUGGGAGGUGGGAACUGGAAAUCAAGCUGGCUGAACUGCAGGUGGGAAGCUAUCAGAAGGAAUUAGUUCAGCUGUACAAUGAAGGAAGAGAUGCCUAUCCAUGUAGGACUCUCUGGUUUUGGUUACUUCAGGAUACUUGACAAUGGGUAAUCCUCUAUAGAUUGUUUCAGUGGUUUGAAAUUAUUUUGAUUUGUGCUGAUUUUCUCCUGUCUUUUUUUUACUACGAAUCUAGGUCUUUCUACUCGAGGACAGCUUGCAUCAACUGAUGUUGGAUUCAUCACAAGGAACAUCGAAGUCUCCAGUGCUGGUAAUGAGGUGAUUCCUUCAAACUUCUUGUGUAAGAGGCCUUUCACCACAAACACGUCUGCUGAUGAGGGGAUGUUCGAUCACGUAUCUAUUGGAUGCGGAGAUACUGCUCUUUUCCUCCGAAAGUUGGACAAAGGGAUGUCUGAGAUUGCAAAUUCCUUUAAGCUUUCUUCAUUGAAGUUUUGAGAAGGACGUCAGACCUUAUCUUUCAGAAUAUUUGAUCUUUCCUCGCCCACUUGAUACUUCGGUUGCGCAGUUUCAUCCGAAAGCCCAUGUGUUGUUCGCUCCUAGUCCCAUCUAUCUUAGCUCACAUGAUGCUGCUAUAGUAAAGCAAAUACUGUCAAAACAUGAGUGGUCAGACUUCUUGGAUCAUAUCAUUAUCAAUUUCAAUGUUUGCAUAAGACCUCAACGGAUCACGUGCCACAAUAAUAUCAUUGAUAAUGGGACUAUGAGCGAACAACACAUGGGCUUUCCGAUGAAACUGCUCAACCGAAGUAUCAAGUGGGCGAGGAAAGAUCAAAUAUUCUGUAAGAUAAGGUCUGACGUCCUUCUCAAAACUCGCCUUCAAUGAAGAAAGCUUAAAGGAAUUUGCAAUCUCAGACAUCCCUUAUCCAAUAGAUACGUGAUCGAACAUCCCCUCAUUAUCAGCAGACGUGUUUGUGGUGAAAGGCCUCUUACACAAGAAGUUUGAAGGAAUCACCUCAUUACCAGCACACGAGACGCCGAUGUUCCUUGUGAUGAAUUCAACAUCAGUUGAUGCAAGCUGUCCUCGAGUAGAAAGACCUGGAUUCGUAGUAAAAAAAAAGACACGAGAAAAUCAGCACAAAUCAAAAUAAUUUCAAACCACUAAAACAAUCUAUAGAGCAUUACCAGUGGUGCAUGUGGUGAGGUGCCUAUUGCCACACCCAUGGUCAAGUAUUCUAAAGUAACCUCACCAAAGAGUCUUGCAUGGAUAGGCAUCAGUAUCAAUCAGGUGGUUUAAACCAACAAUCUACACCGGACAAAUAAAAUAGGGAGGUUUUAAACCGUUAGAUUAAGCAAUAUACACUCUACAACCCAGGAGGAUUCAAUCUAUCCAGACAACUCAUCCCAGUUAUACAGACCAACUCAUGAAAGCCCCACUUAAAACGACGAGAGGAUACCACGAACCAAGUAUCCAGCCAGCAUCCGGCGUAUCAGCCGCAACAUUUUAGGAAUCUUCACGCCUCUCUCUCCCCUUCCCCCCUAAACCCUAAAUCGCGGCCACCUCAAAUCCCGAGGAACACACACAGACAGAGGAAAGGGACGACGAGAGGAUACCACUAACCGAGUGUUGUUGAGUGCUUACUGCCGCCACCAGCCAGCAUCCGGCGUAUCAGCCGCAACAUUUUACGCCUGUUCUGUAUCCUUCAACUAGGUCUGUAGCAAUCUUUGUCGUUGCAUUCAUUUGUGCCAUACAUCUUAGAAUUAACAGCUGCAUGCAAUGGUCCCAUCGUACAAAUUAAUUAGGGGACAAACCAUUAGUAGAAUCUACUGUUUCUCUCUAAGAAAAUUCGAUAAAUAAAAUAUGCGGCGGCAAAGCGCGAUAGGAACAGACGAAAGCAGCACAUCCCUCUUUGUUUCUGGCGCCAAAAAUAUGGAUCGUCCUCCAAUCUUCACUUAUCCUUGAAUAAAACAACUAGAACAGUCAAAUCGUUCUCCAAUGGAGCAACCAAAUGAUCCUGCAGGAAGAAAAAAACAAGAACAAGCUAAUCCUUCUUGAUGGAGCAUCCAAAUGAUCAUACCACUGCAUCGAUGAAAGUUGUACCUAGUUGGGUGCCUCAAAUGGGCAUGUCACUUAGUGAUACAAAGGAGGCUUGGAACUUUUGGGUCAUGUAUGGAGGUCGGAUGGGCUUUGAUGUUAGAAAGAAGCUAGUAUGACAAUAAAAAUCCUGUAACCAAGAAAACCACAUCAGCUAGAUUUGUUUGCUCCAAACAAGGUUUUCGAGGCAAGGAUAAAAGAGAUUGCUUGACCAAGCAUCCUCGAGCUGAGACGAGAAUUGGAUGUAAUGUCCGCAUCGGGCUUUCACUGAAUCGAGAAAAUGAAAAGUAUGAGAUAUCUGAUCUGGAAGUAGAGCACAACCAUAUACUGCAAAUGCCAGAAACUUCUCAUUUAAUGUCAUCUCAGCGCAAGAUUUCUGAACUGCAAGCCUUUGACAUUGAAAUGGCAGAUGCCAUUGUUAUUCAACCCAGAAUCGCUCAUGAAUUGGCUGCUCGACAUGCUAGUGGGUCAUCUAAUCUUGGCUAUACUUGUCAUGAUCAAAAAAAUUAUUUGAGAACUAGACGUUAAAAAGAGUUGAAAUAUGGUGAGGCUAGGAGCUUAUUAAACUAUUUUAAGAAUAAGGCCAUAGAAAAUCCUUCUUUUCAUUAUGUUUUGCAGUUGGUCACUGAUAAGCAAAUAACAAAUAUCUUUUGGGCUGAUGCAAAGAUGAUAGUCGAUUAUGAUCACUUUGGUGAUGUUGUUACUUUUGAUACAACCUUUGGGACAAACAGAGAAAACCGACCAUUUGGUAUAUUUGUUGGAUUUAAUCAUUUCAGAGAAACAAUAGUUUUUGGAGCUGCAUGCACUCAUGUAUGAUGAGACAUGUGACUCAUUCCGUUGGCUUUUUGAUGCCUUUUCGUCAUGCCACAAUCACAAGCAACCAAGAACUAUAUAUACUGAUCAAGAUGUUGCAAUGGGAAAGGCUAUCUUUGAGGUAUUUACACAAACAUGGCAUGGUUUAUGCACUUUUCACAUAAUGCAAAAUGCAAUCAAACAUAUAAACCGUCACAAGACUAGUGAUGGCUCUAAUGUUCUGGCUGAUUUUAGUGCUUGCAUGUAUGAACAUGAGAAUGUGGCAAAAUUUGAGCAAGUCUUUGCUGAUUCGAGGACGAAAGUUCACAAAGAGACAUGGUUGGAUAGUAUUUAUAAGUUGAAAGGAAAGUGGGUUGAAUGCUUUAUGAUCAAUGUGUACACUUAGGAAUGUGAAGUACUCAAUGGAGUGAAUGACAAAACAGUGAUCUGAAGGAUCAUUUAAAUUCUGAGUUAAACAUUGUACAAUUUCUUAAUCACUUUGAAAGAGUUAUACAAGGAAAGAGCGAUAAGGAGAUCAACUCGGUGUAUGAAUCAAGGAAAAAGUUGCCACACAUCCUAAUGAGAACUCCUAUGCUAUUGCAAGCAAGUAAGCUUUACACCCCAUAGAUUUUUGAGGCCUUUCAAAAAGAAUAUGAAAGAUCAAUGUCGGCUUAUACGAAAGUAUUGGAUGAGGGUGGGGGCAUAUGUUGUUGGCAUAAGAUCCCUCGAUGAUGAUUCAACAAUUGAAGAAGAGUAUAUGGUUGUUGUAAAUCAUUCAGAGGGUAGGAAUACUUUGAAGCCAUGCAUUGAAGAUUCUUGAUGUGAUGAAUAUUAAGCAAUUACCAAAAUAUUAUAUUCUCAACAGAUGGACACGAGAAGCACGACAUGGGGUUGUCCAUGAUACAUCUAGAAGACAUGUCCUAGAGAAUCCCAAGCUGGAUGCUUCACAUCGAUAUAAGUUUCAAACAAAUUUAUCAGUUUGGCAUCUCGUGCAGCAGAUUUUGAAGAGUAUUUUGUGUUUGUUGAUAAUGCUCUUGACACACUUGGAAAGCAAGUGGAAGAAAUGGUUGAAGGGAAUACAACUCACCAAUCCAAUUUAGAGACAGGGUCCAAGAUACCUGGUAAUAUUUCCCAUGGUAUUGGUCUGAUGAAAAAAGAGACCCGGAGCGGCGGAUGUAAGUGAAAAAAGAAUUGGGUUGAUCGGCUACAUAAUAAAAGAAAAAAAAGCAAGAACCAAAACAACAAAAGUAUGAGGCUGAGAAGGAGAGAGAACUAGCACGUGCUGUGCCAUUGGUAAAGGAGAGAUGGGAGAACAAUGGAAAAGAAGUUCACGAUGAUUAUGAAUUUAUGGGUAUCUAUUCCAAGUUACUGACGCUGUUAGUUCUAAGAUGUAUGGCACAAAUGAAUGCAACGAAAAGAUUGCUACAGACCCAGUUGAAGGAUACAGAAGAGGCGUAAAAUGUUGCGGCUGAUACGCCGGAUGCUGGCUGGUGGCGGCAGUAAGCACUCAACAACACUCGAUGCCUAUCCAUGCAUGACUCUUUGGUGGAGGUUACUUCAGGAUACUUGACCAUGGGUGUGGCAAUAGGCACCUCACCACAUGCACCACUGUAUGAAUCCAGGUCUUUCUACUCGAGGACAGCUUGCAUCAACUGAUGUUGAAUUCAUCACAAGGAACAUCGGCGUCUCCAGUGCUGGUAAUGAGGUGAUUCCUUUAAACUUCUUGUGUAAGAGGCGUUCACCACAAACACGUCAGAAUGGAGGAUCCUAACAGGGACCUGUUUCUUCUGUUGAGGAGCUUACGAGUGCAUUUCCAGUCCCUUGUCACAGUUUGGAAACCUAGGGAAUUAUUGUCCUUGACAGAUUCUUUUAUAAGAGAGACUGAUGGCCAUGUUGUACUACUAAGAGACAUCGCCAAGAAAAAUUUGGAAAAAUGGUCAGAUUUUCUGAGUGGACAUACCUGUUUCAGAUUAAGCUCCACUAAAGUCGUAACCGAUUUGGAGAAAAAAUUCGAGAAAAAAUCGAAUGAGCAGACUCGUCCUCCUGGGGUAUCAACCUACUGGGUUAUGGUUGAUAAUGAUGAGUCUAAAAUCAAGAAGCUUUCAGAGAUUUUGGACAAGUUCAGAUCUGAUUUUGUCAUGCUGUACAUUGAUUGCCUAGAAGAAAAGGCUGAAUCUUUCCAGAGGGUAAUCGCUGAUAUUUAUCACGAUAAAGGUAGUCGAAAGUGGCAAACAGGUAGUUGCUCCAUCUUUCUGUGCAACCAAAAUGAGUUUGGCACUAGAUUAUCUGGAAGGAACAGAUUGGAUAUAGUGCUUGAUGCUACUGUUCCAGUGGAUUUAUUCUACCCUCUGGAACACGGAAGAUCAAGCACAAGAGUUGUGUUUGCUUGGGCCGAUCAGCUCCAUAGGCUCAUAAAAGCUGGCGUUGACGAAUUGAAUGCUGAAGCUUACAUUGAUUUUCAUAACAUCAAGCUAACUCCGGUGAAGAAGCAUGGUAAUGAGGGCAAGAAGGUAACCCUGAUGAAGGAGGGGAAGGAGGGGGAAGGGCAAGAAAGGCAAAAGGAGGGGGAAGAAGAGCAAGGGUCAGAGAUGAAGGUGGAUAAGAUGGGACAUGUAAGGAAGAUCAAUUUCUUUGCCCCUUGUUGAGAGAUCUUAUACAGAUGUGUCCUUUGCCACAAAUUUCCUAAGAUGUGGCAUGCCACACUUUUUGUUGAUUAUGAGAAUACCUGGUGCAUCAUGAGGUGGUUCAUCAUGUAGUGUUGCUGCGUGUUGAUGUGGUCAUCAGUGGAGGUGGUUCAGGCCUUGCAGCCUGUGCUCCCCUCGAGAUCACCAUGACAACAAAUAUUGCCACCAACAAAAACCAGAGCUUCUUGGAGGCCAUAUAUGAAUUAAUUAAUGUGUUUCCGCCUUCUUACAGCUAGAUUGUAUACAUAUAUAUAGAUAUUAGCUAUAUAUGUAGCUAAGGUAGGUAUAUAAGAGGUGAGUACAUGCAUGUUAGCAUCGAUCCGGCCCUCUUAUUUAUAGACAGCAGAGGACUAGCUAGCUAGUUAGCUAUCUUGUCAAGCACACACUUGAUUAAGCUCGAUCUGAUUCCGCUAGAAUGAAGCUACGUAAU